RNAcentral lists this small RNA (323 nucleotides) under Histoplasma capsulatum. RNAcentral's name for it is "hypothetical RNA". RNAcentral also lists the same sequence under 1 other name. Lineage: Eukaryota; Fungi; Ascomycota; Eurotiomycetes; Onygenales; Ajellomycetaceae. The record is from RNAcentral.
CAGCAUUGGUAUCGAUCCCGAGGCUUCAGAGUCCCAGAGACAUUUUAGCGAAGAGGUUUGAGGAAUGGAUGAGGAUGUCCUGCACAGGUUAGAACGAGCGAUCCUCAUCAAACAUGCGGCUCUCAUUCUUGCUCCGCCAUUGGUAACAGAUUGCUGCAGCUUCAAGAGUUGUAUAUAUAGCUAAUAUCACGGCAUCCCACCCCAUAUUUAUCGUACUUGGGGGGGUUUUAACCCCGGUGGAUCCUUUUGCUCCAAUGUGCGUUGCUUCAGCUUCAGAUAUUAAUUUCGAAUGUAUUUGAUUCAGCAAUGAACCACCCCAAAGG